Molecule: long non-coding RNA, 465 nt
Organism: Perca fluviatilis (European perch)
Lineage: Eukaryota; Metazoa; Chordata; Actinopteri; Perciformes; Percidae
Exons: 3
Source: RefSeq, a predicted model, not a curated record
AGGUAAAUGCUAUAUAAUUAAAACAUCCGUCGGAAGGCCUCAAGAUGUGGCUGACAGCUGUGGCAAAAGCUACGCAGGGUUGCACAACAAAAUGCAAGUCAUAGUCCCUUUAUGCUACACAAGAAAAGAAAAGAAAUGUAUGGUGGAGUACAGAGGAGUUGAGGAGUCUUACAGUCUGAGGAAAGAAGCUGCUCUGUGGACUGGUGGUACGACAGCAGACUUCUGUAUCGCUUGUUGGAUGGCUGCAGGGUGAUCAGGCUGUUGCUGGGAUGGACCCAGGAGAAUACUGGGACGCCUAAUCUGCUGCUCUACAUGCACAACUGCAGACACAAAACACCCAUACCUACAUCCUCGACAGCCUAAUCUGUUUAAGCAGAAUACAGCAGCUUAAAAAGCCUUUUUCCCCAAGUGCUGGGUGUACAGUAGGAUCUUUUUUGGAUGUCAACAAAGAGCACUACAAAACAA